RNAcentral lists this non-coding RNA (86 nucleotides) under Actinomycetota bacterium. RNAcentral describes it as "Actinobacteria bacterium c-di-GMP sequence". It matches the Rfam family "c-di-GMP-II-GAG riboswitch aptamer". Lineage: Bacteria; Bacillati; Actinomycetota. The record is from RNAcentral.
ACGACGACGGGAGGCAUUGAGGACGCGGCUUCAGCCCGGUUACCGCGACCGCGUUCCAGCCAGUGGUGAGACCGCCCCGUCGCUGG